Molecule: non-coding RNA, 89 nt
Organism: Potamilus streckersoni
Lineage: Eukaryota; Metazoa; Mollusca; Bivalvia; Unionida; Unionidae
Source: the annotation of a GenBank genome assembly
UGCUGGCUUAGUGGUUAGAGUAUCUGCCUUGGAUGCGGGUGGUCAGGAUGCGGGAAGUUGUGGGUUCGAUCCCUGUUGAGUCAUAUCAA